UCCAGACUCCUACGGGAGGCAGCAGUGGGGAAUAUUGCACAAUGGGGGAAACCCUGAUGCAGCGACGCCGCGUGAGUGAAGAAGUCCUUCGUGAUGUAAAGCUCUCUCAGCAGGGAAGAAAAUGACGGUACCUGACCAAGAAGCCCCGGCUAACUACGUGCCAGCAGCCGCGGUAAUACGUAGGGGGCAAGCGUUAUCCGGAUUUACUGGGUGUAAAGGGAGCGUAGACGGUUGCGCAAGUCUGGAGUGAAAGGCGGGGGCCCAACCCCCGGACUGCUCUGGAAACUGUGUAACUGGAGUGCAGGAGAGGUAAGUGGAAUUCCUAGUGUAGCGGUGAAAUGCGUAGAUAUUAGGAGGAACACCAGUGGCGAAGGCGGCUUACUGGACUGUAACUGACGUUGAGGCUCGAAAGCGUGGGGAGCAAACAGGAUUAGAUACCCGGGUAGU
This 447-nucleotide ribosomal RNA is filed under the name uncultured bacterium. Its description in RNAcentral is "bacterial SSU rRNA". It matches the Rfam family "Bacterial small subunit ribosomal RNA", at positions 330 to 794 of the family's 1533-position model. The record is from RNAcentral.